AACGAACGCUGGCGGCAUGCCUAACACAUGCAAGUCGAACGAGACCUUCGGGUCUAGUGGCGCACGGGUGCGUAACGCGUGGGAACCUGCCCUUAGGUUCGGAAUAACUCCCCGAAAGGGGUGCUAAUACCGGAUAAUGUCUUCGGACCAAAGAUUUAUCGCCUUUGGAUGGGUCCGCGUUGGAUUAGCUAGUUGGUAGGGUAAAAGCCUACCAAGGCGACGAUCCAUAGCUGGUCUGAGAGGAUGAUCAGCCACACUGGGACUGAGACACGGCCCAGACUCCUACGGGAGGCAGCAGUGGGAAAUAUUGGACAAUGGGCGAAAGCCUGAUCCAGCAAUGCCGCGUGAGUGAUGAAGGCCUUAGGGUUGUAAAGCUCUUUUACCCGGGAUGAUAAUGACAGUACCGGGAGAAUAAGCUCCGGCUAACUCCGUG
This 433-nucleotide ribosomal RNA is filed under the name uncultured bacterium. Its description in RNAcentral is "partial 16S ribosomal RNA". It matches the Rfam family "Bacterial small subunit ribosomal RNA", at positions 29 to 507 of the family's 1533-position model. The record is from RNAcentral.